RNAcentral lists this ribosomal RNA (497 nucleotides) under uncultured bacterium. RNAcentral's name for it is "partial 16S ribosomal RNA". It matches the Rfam family "Bacterial small subunit ribosomal RNA", at positions 28 to 507 of the family's 1533-position model. The record is from RNAcentral.
GAUGAACGCUGGCGGCGUGCCUAAUACAUGCAAGUCGAGCGAACAGACGCUGAGCUUGCUCCGCUGACGUUAGCGGCGGACGGGUGAGUAACACGUGGAUAACCUACCUAUAAGUCUGAGAUAACUUCGGGAAACCGGAUCUUAUACCGUAUAAUAUCUUGAACCGCAGGGUUCAUUAGUGAAAGACGGUUUUGCUGUCACUAAUAGAUGGUUCCGCGCCGCAUGAGCUAGUUGGUGAGCUAACGGCUUAUCAAGGCGACGAGGCGUAGGCGACCUGAGAGGCUGAUCGGCGACCCUGGAACUGAGACACGGUCCUGACUCCUACGAUAGGCAGCAGUAGGGUAUCUUCCGCAGUGGGCGGGAGCUUGACGGAACGGCGCCGCGUGAGAUAUAGAGGUGUUCGGAUCGUAAUGCUGUGUUAUUGGGGAAGAACAACUGUCUAAUGUGCUGUGCCCGUAUUGACGGUACCGAGUCAGAAAGCCCCGGCUAACUACGUG